Molecule: ribosomal RNA, 495 nt
Filed under: uncultured bacterium
Lineage: Bacteria
Description: bacterial SSU rRNA
Rfam family: Bacterial small subunit ribosomal RNA
Source: RNAcentral
GAUCAUGGCUCAGAUUGAACGCUGGCGGCAUGCCUUACACAUGCAAGUCGAACGGCAGCGGGCCUUCGGGUGCCGGCGAGUGGCGAACGGGUGAGUAAUGCAUCGGAACGUGCCAUUGAUGGGGGAUAACGUAGCGAAAGUUGCGCUAAUACCGCAUAUUCUGUGAGCAGGAAAGCAGGGGACCGCAAGGCCUUGCGCUCUUUGAGCGGCCGAUGUCAGAUUAGCUAGUUGGUGAGGUAAAGGCUUACCAAGGCGACGAUCUGUAGCGGGGUCUGAGAGGAUGAUCCGCCACACUGGAACUGAGACACGGUCCAGACUCCUACGGGAGGCAGCAGUGGGGAAUUUUGGACAAUGGGGGCAACCCUGAUCCAGCCAUGCCGCGUGAGUGAAGAAGGCCUUCGGGUUGUAAAGCUCUUUCGGCCGGGAAGAAAUCGCAUGGGUGAAUACCCUGUGUGGAUGACGGUACCGGAACAAGAAGCACCGGCUAACUACGUG